GAUGAACGCUGGCGGCGUGCCUAACACAUGCAAGUCGAACGGGAAGCUUGAUUUCGGUCGAGCGGAGAGUGGCGAACGGGUGAGUAACACGUAGCUAACCUGCCCUGGAGAGGGGGAUAACUGUUGGAAACGGCAGCUAAUACCCCGUACGUUUCCGGUGUGUAGCAAGCCGGAAAGAAAGCUUCGGCGCUCCAGGAUGGGGCUGCGGUCCAUCAGCUAGUUGGUAGGGUAACGGCCUACCAAGGCGAAGACGGAUAGGGGGGCCUGAGAGGGUGACCCCCCACACUGGCACUGAGAUACGGGCCAGACUCCUACGGGAGGCUG
RNAcentral lists this ribosomal RNA (324 nucleotides) under uncultured Chloroflexota bacterium. RNAcentral describes it as "bacterial SSU rRNA". It matches the Rfam family "Bacterial small subunit ribosomal RNA", at positions 28 to 351 of the family's 1533-position model. The record is from RNAcentral. Lineage: Bacteria; Bacillati; Chloroflexota.